GAGUAGUAGGAGUUACAAUCUGCUAUUUCAGAAUCCAGCUCCUGUUUACGAAGUAGGACAGAAGGUUUUCCGAAGAAACUUCGCACAGUCUUCAGCAGGAGAAGCUUAUAAUGCCAAAUUAGGACCGAUGUAUAUUCCAUGUACCGUGGUGGCCCGCCGCGGAACGAGCUCUUAUGAGUUGGAAGAUAGUUCUGGCAAAAAUGUAGGAAUUUCCUCAGCGGCUGACCUAAGGCCAGGGAACGCCGAGGUAGAUGAACCUUCUGAAUUGUAAAUAGUACAAAAUGUUAUAAUUAAUUGGUAGGUGUAAUGCAUGUUGGGUUCUAUUAAAGUUGUUCGCUGUUUGCAUCAUUGAUUUAGAUGGUUUUUUUUUGUACGUAGAAUUCGUUAUAUUGUUAAAUGUCGGUUUUUGAGAGAAAAAGCUGUAAAAUGCAUUACAUACAGUGAUCUACGAAUGUGUUGUAGUUUCCCUUUUUGGGAACAGAGAUAAAAAGGUUCUAGAGUAUGAUGAAGUUCAAGGUCAGUCUAUUCGGUGUUUGAUUGUCAAUGUAGUAGUUUGUUUAUAGGUAUUCGUAUCACAGUUUAUAGUCUUCAGUCCACACACAAAUUGCAAUAGUUUUGCUGCCUGAUGUCGUAGUACGCUUAAUUAAAGGAAAACUGGUCACGGAUAUUAGAACGGAUAAAUGGAAAACUUUGAUAAGCACAGAAAAACUUUGAACGUUCAUUUUUCCUAUGAUGUCAUGAGCAGCACCUGUAAAAUUUGCCUUUAGAUUUCGCCUGAUCAACACGUUAAAAACCGCCCUCCAUCACACGUAGUCCUUUUGCAACAGCCACCAUGCCAAUAGAUUGCUUGAGUUCCACUUUAUCAUGUACAGCUCUAGCCGAGAUAGACAACGGUCGGUCGAAAUUCUCCCUCUCAAUAAAGUUGAGAUUAAGGAAGAGGAAGGCCGAUUACUGAGAGAUUAGGGUAAAGACGCUAAUAAAUGGUCUUGUCUAAAUUUCGACAAGAAUUUCUAUUUAGUUGACUUAGCUUCGGAAUAUUUACUCUUACGAAUACGAAAAUUGCGAAAGGCAAGCCCAACCCUGGGAGUCCAGCUGUACAGUUGAUUUCUGAAAUAAAUUGAGGAAAAUGGUUAAUAAAUGUUUAGUAAAAUAAAUUGAUAAAUCAAUUUAUUUUUAUGGGGAGUGUGGGGUAGUGUUACCGUUUCGGGUACUUUACCCUAGGAUCCACUCCUGAGCGAAUCGUAGGUGGUUAGGUGGAGAGCGAGAACAUAUGUAUAUACUGUUCGUUACGAAUUAUUGUCGUAAGGCUUACUUGUUUAUUGUACACAAUAUUGUAUGAAAGAUGGAUUGUAAUUGUAACUGUAGCUAAAAUAUUAGGCCUACUCCCGAAGUUCAACUGUGAAUUUAAAAAGGACAUUAAAAUGUAACACACAUAACACACGUAACACACAGAACACCUACAAAGUGGGAGGAUCAGUUGGAUAAUGGAACAACGAUUGGAAGGAUUGAAAGGAGGGGCUACGGAGAGGGGAAUGGAGGCUGGGAAAUGGGAAGGGGAGGUAAGGAAUUGGGUAUGCCAUAAGGAAAGUAGGAACAAGUCGGUCUUUUCCACUUGAGACUCGGAGCAAUCCAGACGUUUUUUCUACAAAGUGAAUAGAAGUGACAAUUUAGUCAGUUAUACAGUGGAGAAGAUUUUAUCCUCGCCUAGAUAUCCGCAAGAGUCAGGACCCAUUUGGUAUCAGCUAGGACCGUUUAGCGUCGCCAUACCUGCCUGCCGGUACGACGAUACCCGGUGAAGCACGUGGAGAGCCAUUUCUACGACCAGGCAUUUCCAAACCCUGAGCUGCUUCCUCCGUGAUAGUUACGCCCAACACCGACAUUGGGAGCCCGUUCCUCGAGCACGUUCUGCACGCUAAUACCCCUUCAAGCCAUCCCAUCUGCGACGGCGAGUGAGCAGCUAGCACCCGUUGAGAACCACCAGAGUGAUCCUUCCCGCCGGCCGGCCCCGCAUUACACACCCACACGUACACCCGUAAGUUAAUAAUAAACUGUGGAAAAUAGCUAAUAGUGUUUGGACUUCUGAUCAUCGCGAAGAGCCGACCCUGUGACCAAGAG
Molecule: long non-coding RNA, 2115 nt
Organism: Aedes albopictus (Asian tiger mosquito)
Lineage: Eukaryota; Metazoa; Arthropoda; Insecta; Diptera; Culicidae
Exons: 2
Source: RefSeq, a predicted model, not a curated record